UGGGUGUGCCAAAAUAUGCCCAGGGUC
This 27-nucleotide non-coding RNA is filed under the name Homo sapiens (human). The record is from RNAcentral. Lineage: Eukaryota; Metazoa; Chordata; Mammalia; Primates; Hominidae.